AGUCUUCAAGCAAAGUCAUCAGAAUUUUUAAAAAACAAGUUCAAACACAGUUUUUAAAAAAAAAACAAAUAAAACAAAACCUAUUCGUGAUUUUGGGAGGUUUUUUUUGGUAGUGGUUGAGGUUCGAAUUGUAGUCUCAUGUUGAGGUUUGAUUGGUAUGGCGGUUGCCUCGAUUUUUGCAGAAUCUUUUGCUAUGGCA
Molecule: long non-coding RNA, 199 nt
Filed under: Gossypium raimondii (Peruvian cotton)
Lineage: Eukaryota; Viridiplantae; Streptophyta; Magnoliopsida; Malvales; Malvaceae
Description: long non-coding RNA (GRAI_LNC008539)
Source: RNAcentral